RNAcentral lists this ribosomal RNA (272 nucleotides) under uncultured bacterium. RNAcentral describes it as "partial 16S ribosomal RNA". It matches the Rfam family "Bacterial small subunit ribosomal RNA", at positions 82 to 354 of the family's 1533-position model. The record is from RNAcentral.
UCUACGUCGGCGACCGGCGCACGGGUGCGUAACGCGUAUGCAACCUACCCAUUACAGGGGGAUAACACUGAGAAAUCGGUACUAAUACCCCAUAACAUCCAGGGAGGCAUCUUCUUGGGUUGAAAACUCCGGUGGUAAUGGAUGGGCAUGCGUUGUAUUAGUUAGUUGGUGGGGUAACGGCUCACCAAGACAACGAUACAUAGGGGGACUGAGAGGUUAACCCCCCCACAUUGGUACUGAGACACGGACCAAACUCCUACGGAAGGCAGCAG